Molecule: long non-coding RNA, 567 nt
Organism: Mercurialis annua (annual mercury)
Lineage: Eukaryota; Viridiplantae; Streptophyta; Magnoliopsida; Malpighiales; Euphorbiaceae
Exons: 3
Source: RefSeq, a predicted model, not a curated record
UCAAGAUCAAAAACAAAAAUGAAAGCGCCAACCUUCUUCAUCACCGCCAUCACCCUCAACAUUCAUCUUGCGCACCCACCACGGCGGAAGCCAUAUCUCGACAAUCCGACCACCAAAUUCAGCGAUUCAAGCUUGGUUAUGAAGCCAACACACCAAGGAUUAAGACUCGACGAGGCGAUUAUCAAGGGGGCGCGGAACGUAAAGAACGCGACAUCGCUUUGCUAGGACCGAAGUCUUUGGAUAGCAAUUUUGUUAUGUUUCAGGUGUAUAGUAUCGAAUGUAACGGACUUCUAUCCUUGUUCCAGAAGUCCGCGAGUACAGAAAGAAGGAACCAAUCAGUAGUGCUGCAGUAGCCGAGUCCUAGAGUGUAAUUAUGUUUUGUCAAACGGUUUUAAAUAUUUUGUUUAUACUCUGAUAUGAAUAAAGGCUUUAGACUGCGCUUUUAAACCAUUUAUAUAUAUGUGAGAAACAUGGCAUUGCUUGAUAUAAGAUAUCGCGUUGUAAGACCCUGAUUUCUAAAGAUCGUUUUGUAUCGUUUAAAGAAGUUUUAUAAAAACGUUUUGAGAA